RNAcentral lists this ribosomal RNA (1006 nucleotides) under Actinomycetota bacterium. RNAcentral's name for it is "partial 23S ribosomal RNA". It matches the Rfam family "Bacterial large subunit ribosomal RNA", at positions 2304 to 2925 of the family's 2925-position model. Lineage: Bacteria; Bacillati; Actinomycetota. The record is from RNAcentral.
AGGCGCCCAAAGGUCCCCUCAGUCUGGUCGGCAAUCAGACGGCGAGUGUAAAUGCACAAGGGGGCUUGACUGCGAGACCUACCGGUCGAGCAGGGACGAAAGUCGGGAUUAGUGAUCCCAUGGUGGCACGUGGGUGCGCCAUGGCUCAACGGCUAAAAGGUACUCCGGGGAUAACAGGCUUAUACCCCCCAAGAGUCCAUAUCGUCGGGGGUGUUUGGCACCUCGAUGUCGGCUCGUCGCAUCCUGGGGCUGGAGCAGGUCCCAAGGGUCGGGCUGUUCGCCCGUUAAAGCGGCACGCGAGCUGGGUUCAGAACGUCGUGAGACAGUAAGACCAUUGCUGUCUAUAAAUUCGGCUAUAUGCUGGGAACUCCGUGUAUCCGACGGUACUCGUUCAUGUCACACCCGACACAUGGGGUGGAGACAUGGACAAGUGAAAAUCCGAUCGGUGCGGACAAUCAGCAGGGAAGGCUGGAGUCCUAGAGUAAGCGGAUUCGUGGAAGAGAAACGCCAAAGAGCGAGCGGGGUAAUACGACGCCUCAUUCGCGGGCGAGUCACCAUGAGUUCGUCAGGAACCCAGAACCCUCAGAGACUAUACGCCGAACACCUAUCCUCGGAUGGGUGAAGAUAUAGUCCGAGCUGUAUGGCGACAUACAGAGUCAGGCAGAAAUGACCUGGCCUCCGCUCACCCGAAGUGAGCGGUAGUAACAAUACUGUCGGUCCCUAUCCGCCGCAGGCGCAGGAGAUUUGAAGGGAGCUGCCCCUAGUACGAGAGGACCGGGUUGGACGUACCUCUGGUGUGCGAGUUGUACUGCCAAGUGCACGGCUCGUUGGCUAUGUACGGACGGGAUAAGCGCUGAAAGCAUCUAAGUGCGAAGCCCACCCUAAGAUGAGAUCUCCCACCCGUAAGGGUUAAGGCCCCUGGUAGAUGACCAGGUUGAUAGGCCGGACGUGUAAGCACAGCAAUGUGUUCAGCGGACCGGUACUAAUAGGCCGAGGGCUUGGAUAG